GACGAACGCUGGCGGCGUGCCUAAUACAUGCAAGUCGAACGCUUCUUUCCUCCCGAGUGCUUGCACUCAAUUGGAAAGAGGAGUGGCGGACGGGUGAGUAACACGUGGGUAACCUACCCAUCAGAGGGGGAUAACACUUGGAAACAGGUGCUAAUACCGCAUAACAGUUUAUGCCGCAUGGCAUAAGGGUGAAAGGCGCUUUCGGGUGUCGCUGAUGGAUGGACCCGCGGUGCAUUAGCUAGUUGGUGAGGUAACGGCUCACCAAGGCCACGAUGCAUAGCCGACCUGAGAGGGUGAUCGGCCACACUGGGACUGAGACACGGCCCAGACUCCUACGGGAGGCAGCAGUAGGGAAUUUUCGGCAAUGGACGAAAGUCUGACCGAGCAACGCCGCGUGAGUGAAGAAGGUUUUCGGAUCGUAAAACUCUGUUGUUAGAGAAGAACAAGGACGUUAGUAACUGAACGUCCCCUGACGGUAUCUAACCAGAAAGCCACGGCUAACUACGUG
RNAcentral lists this ribosomal RNA (508 nucleotides) under uncultured bacterium. RNAcentral describes it as "partial 16S ribosomal RNA". It matches the Rfam family "Bacterial small subunit ribosomal RNA", at positions 28 to 507 of the family's 1533-position model. The record is from RNAcentral.